GACGAACGCUGGCGGCGUGCUUAACACAUGCAAGUCGAACGCUGAGGCCCUGCUUUUGUGGGGUGCUCGAGUGGCGAACGGGUGAGUAACACGUGAGUAACCUGCCCUUGACUUUGGGAUAACUCCAGGAAACGGGGGCUAAUACCGGAUAGGCGCUCCUGCUCCCUGGUGGGGGUGGGGAAGUUGCGUUGGUGGGGGAUGGUCUCGCCGCUUCUCAGCUUGUUGGUGGGGUAGUGGCUUACUACGGCUUGGACGGGUAGUAGGCCUGAUAGGGUGACGGGCCAGAUAGGGACUGGGAUACGGCCCAGACUCGUACGGGAGGCAGCAGUGGGGUGUAUGGCAGAAUGGUCGGAAGCCGGAGGCAGCAACGCCGCGUGCGGGAUGACGGCCUUCUGGUUGUAAACCGCUUUCGCCGGUGACGAAGUGUGAGUGACGGUAAUGGGUAAAGAAGCACCGGCUAACUACGUG
Molecule: ribosomal RNA, 468 nt
Filed under: uncultured bacterium
Lineage: Bacteria
Description: partial 16S ribosomal RNA
Rfam family: Bacterial small subunit ribosomal RNA
Source: RNAcentral